CUACGGGUGGCUCCAGUGAGGAAUAUUGCACAAUGGGGGGAACCCUGAUGCAGCAACGCCGCGUGGAGGAUGACGCAUUUCGGUGUGUAAACUCCUUUUAUAUGUCAAGAAAAUGACGGUAGCAUAUGAAUAAGCACCGGCUAACUCCGUGCCAGCAGCCGCGGUAAUACGGAGGGUGCAAGCGUUACUCGGAAUCACUGGGCGUAAAGGACGCGUAGGCGGGUUGGAAAGUCAGGUGUGAAAUCCUACAGCUUAACUGGAGAACUGCACUUGAAACUUCUAAUCUAGAGUAUGGGAGGGGGAGAUGGAAUUAGUGGUGUAGGGGUAAAAUCCGUAGAUAUCACUAGGAAUACCUAAAGCGAAGGCGAUCUCCUGGAACAUUACUGACGCUAAGGCGUGAAAGCGUGGGGAGCAAACAGGAUUAGAUACCCUGUAGUC
This 438-nucleotide ribosomal RNA is filed under the name uncultured bacterium. RNAcentral describes it as "partial 16S ribosomal RNA". It matches the Rfam family "Bacterial small subunit ribosomal RNA", at positions 339 to 795 of the family's 1533-position model. The record is from RNAcentral.